GAUGAACGCUAGCGGGAGGCCUAACACAUGCAAGCCGAGCGGUAUUGCUUCUUCGGCAAUGUGAGAGCGGCGUACGGGUGCGUAACACGUGUGCAACCUGCCUUUAUCUGGGGGAUAGCCUUUCGAAAGGAAGAUUAAUACUCCAUAAUAUAUUGAACGGCAUCGUUUAAUAUUGAAAGCUCCGGCGGAUAGAGAUGGGUACGCGCACGAUUAGCUAGUUGGUGAGGUAACGGCUCACCAAGGCGAUGAUCUUUAGGUGGCCUGAGAGGGUGAUCCCCCAGACGGGUACUGAGGCACUGACCAGACUGCUACGCGAGGCAGCAGUGAGUAAUAGUGGUCAAGGAGUGCAGGCCUAAACCAGCCAUCCCGCGUGAAGGACGACUCCCCUAGGGGUUGUAAACUUCUUUUGUAUAAGGAUAAACCUACCCUCGUGAGGGUAGCUGAAGGUACUAUACGAAUAAGCACCGGCUAACUCCGUG
Molecule: ribosomal RNA, 479 nt
Filed under: uncultured bacterium
Lineage: Bacteria
Description: partial 16S ribosomal RNA
Rfam family: Bacterial small subunit ribosomal RNA
Source: RNAcentral